UCCUCAGAAUAAGUGGGCUUUUCCAAGCACUCUCCACCUGUUGCAAAGGCCUCCCAGCAGGGAAGGGGGCUGUCAGGGGCAACACUGCACUCUCCACUGUAACAAGGAGAAAGCCAAGGGCCACAGAGAGGAGUGCCUUUCCAGUGUCACUGCUCACUUUCCCACCUUUUGGGAGACUGGGAGGCUUUUCUACUACAUUCUGGCUCUGAAGCCCCAAUAUUGUUUGGACAUGCCUCCCUCCCUGGAGCAGGGAACCACUAAGUGACCUGUCACUUGUCACCAAGCAGACAGGCUCAUUUCAGCUCAUUGUGCCACCUGCAGUUUGUGCUAGUAGCAGGAUCCUCUGGGAGACAUCACACUCUCCCAACCUGAAAACAGGUGAACAGCUCACAGGUUUCCUGGAGAGGAUGGUCACAUGGCCUUGAUCUGGCCAAUCAGCAUUUUCCAUCCUCCCUGGCCACUGUGAUUGGCUCAGGGCUGGGCACCAGCCCAAUCAGGCUCCACGGAGGUCAGGCCUAGUUGCUGGAAUCCUGGGAGCAGAGAAGUUCUAUUUCAGUUGGGAGUUGAGGGGUGGUGAUGUCAGCCUGUGGCAGUUGGUGACUAUCUUGCUCUCGUAAAGGCAGAGCCAUGUGAAGAUGACACCAGUGGCAGAGCCCAGAGGUGGGGAAGGAUGACUUCUGCUGAUGUCACUGAGCACCAGGUACAGCCCUGCCUGAAGCUAUCUCCCUGUGGAUGUCUCAGUUAGGCUGUCUGCUGCAUGAGAAUGGAGACCUGCCUGCUUCACUCCCUGCUGUGCCCGGUAUAUGGAACCCGCCCAACACACAGUAGGACCUCAGCGAGUGUGUGACGGGUGUGUGAUCACUGUAGGCCACAGACAAUGGUCUUCCCAGCAGUGAUGAAACCCUGUGACAGAUCCUGUCCACAGAACCCUGCUCCUCCGAUCCUGACCCCAGGCUUUCCCAUGGUGUGUGACCCCGCAUGGGGUGCAGUCCCCUCCUCCAGUCUGACGUCAGUAAUCUUGGAC
Long non-coding RNA from Camelus dromedarius (Arabian camel), 1024 nucleotides. RefSeq lists it as uncharacterized. NCBI's taxonomy places the organism in Eukaryota, Metazoa, Chordata, Mammalia, Artiodactyla, Camelidae. The transcript is spliced from 4 exons. The record is from RefSeq and is a predicted model, not a curated record.